RNAcentral lists this long non-coding RNA (1078 nucleotides) under Brassica napus (rape). RNAcentral's name for it is "long non-coding RNA (BNAP_LNC025796)". Lineage: Eukaryota; Viridiplantae; Streptophyta; Magnoliopsida; Brassicales; Brassicaceae. The record is from RNAcentral.
UUGGUUAGGUCAAAAAUGAAUAGCACAAAUGGUUUUCAUAGAUUAAUGCAAUAAAAAUAGAAUAAAUAGCUGAUAGUUAUAUCAAAAUAAAUAUUGUUUAACUUAAAACAUAAAUUAAAGUCGAUGAAAACUGUUGAGUUAUGCAUGAGAUAUGUUGAUUAAUAAUGUAAAUCUCCUAUUGUCUGAAUAAGUUGCUCCUACUCGGAAAUAACUAAUUGAUAGUCAGUUAAUUGGUAACGAUAUGGUUUGAUUACUGGCGUCUGUUCCCACUUUAUUUUUUUUUCUUCUUGAAAACAGUUACGGCAGUUGUUUCUUUUAUUUAAACCACACGGCAGUUGUUUCUAAUUGUUAUCACUGGUUCUAAUAAAGCACUGAUGGUUAUUUAUUUUUCUGUUCUACCAGGUGCUGCAAUUGUUUUGAGGUUAAUUUAUUCCAUUUGUCUCCGCUGGUUUCAUCAUAUACUUUCAGGUGAACUUUUGUUUAAGCCUCGGACCGGAGUCUUAUAUUUUGGGGGUGUUUUAAGGACCUUUUUAUUUUAAUGGGGGCAAGCUAUGUGUUGAUGUCACCUGUUUGGUCGUUUGGUUUGCAUGGUUUGAGAUACUUUGAUUUGGGCUUUUGUUUCCAAGAGAGGUUGAGUUCUUGUGUUUGAUGUUUUUAUUUAUGGAGGUGUGUUAGUGUUAUGAGCAGUAAUCAAAUUUUGGUUCAUGUUCAUGUGCGGAAAAAUUAUGGGUCCACUAUUUAUUAUUUUGAUGCGUUUGUAACUAAUAGUUAUUCGGGGUAUGAAUUUUAUUAAAAGAGGUGUUAAAGAAAACUGAUGUGCACGACUUUAAUAUGUUUGUAGAUAUUUUUAUAUGAAAGCAACAGAUCUUCACAUCUGCAUGUAUAUGUUGUCAAGGUCUUUCCUGUGGCAGCUAGUUAAGGGGUUUUGUUGUCAUGACGACUUAUUAUGAACUUCGGUUUGCUUUGUAGACUGUGAUUUGUUGGAGCAUUAUUUUGUUAUGUUUCCAACAGGUCUCAGCUCUUGCUUUCUUUUGAUCAGAUAUAAUUUGUUUGCUUAACUCUUGUUUUUGAGAGGAGA